Molecule: non-coding RNA, 423 nt
Organism: Python bivittatus (Burmese python)
Lineage: Eukaryota; Metazoa; Chordata; Lepidosauria; Squamata; Pythonidae
Source: RefSeq, a predicted model, not a curated record
GUCCUACACGCCAAUAUAAAAAUCAAGACUCUUUCCACCCAUAGCAAUCACGUGAGGUUUUAUAUGCCGUAUAAAUAAACACAGCCUAGUAUUAAAUUCCUCAGACUUCUUCGAAGGGAGAGAAGUUCCUACAUUAGCCGAAAUCAUGAGGAUUUUGAAAGUCUUGGGCUUGCUGCUCAUCUUGAUUCUCUGCCUUGGGACCUUCUCAGCUGAUAAUGCAGGGCCAAGAAUGAAAAGAAAAUGCUUUUGCAGAUUGAAGAAAAACUCAUCUGGGAUGGACAGAAGGAUUGUUGGACAACCCAAGAAAUGUUGCUGUAAACCUUGUCAAACAAGCAGGCAACCCUCUUAUGUUUUUCUUCCUGGACCACUGUCUCACGUGUGAAGGGAAGACUUAGACAAAUAUACAGUAUCAGCUGCAAAUGA